RNAcentral lists this ribosomal RNA (495 nucleotides) under uncultured bacterium. RNAcentral describes it as "partial 16S ribosomal RNA". It matches the Rfam family "Bacterial small subunit ribosomal RNA", at positions 28 to 507 of the family's 1533-position model. The record is from RNAcentral.
GACGAACGCUGGCGGCGUGCCUAAUACAUGCAAGUCGAACGCUGAAGGAGGAGCUUGCUUCUCUGGAUGAGUUGCGAACGGGUGAGUAACGCGUAGGUAACCUGCCUGGUAGCGGGGGAUAACUAUUGGAAACGAUAGCUAGUACCGCAUAAGAGUAGAUGUUGCAUGACAUUUGCUUAAAAGGUGCAAUUGCAUCACUACCAGAUGGACCUGCGUUGUAUUAGCUAGUUGGUGGGGUAACGGCUCACCAAGGCGACGAUACAUAGCCGACCUGAGAGGGUGAUCGGCCACACUGGGACUGAGACACGGCCCAGACUCCUACGGGAGGCAGCAGUAGGGAAUCUUCGGCAAUGGACGGAAGUCUGACCGAGCAACGCCGCGUGAGUGAAGAAGGUUUUCGGAUCGUAAAGCUCUGUUGUAAGAGAAGAACGAGUGUGAGAGUGGAAAGUUCACACUGUGACGGUAUCUUACCAGAAAGGGACGGCUAACUACGUG